This 458-nucleotide ribosomal RNA is filed under the name uncultured bacterium. RNAcentral's name for it is "partial 16S ribosomal RNA". It matches the Rfam family "Bacterial small subunit ribosomal RNA", at positions 338 to 795 of the family's 1533-position model. The record is from RNAcentral.
CCUACGGGGGGCAGCAGUGGGGAAUAUUGCACAAUGGGGGAAACCCUGAUGCAGCGACGCCGCGUGAGUGAAGAAGUAAUUCGUUACGUAAAGCUCUAUCAGCAGGGAAGAAACACUGACCUUACGGUCAGCAGACGGUACCUGAGUAAGAAGCCCCGGCUGACUACGUGCCAGCAGCCGCGGUAAUACGUAGGGGGCAAGCGUUAUCCGGAUUUACUGGGUGUAAAGGGGGCGGAGACGGUGCGCCAAGUGUGGGGUGAAAUGCCGCAGCUUAACUGCGGAACUGCUUUGGAAAAUGGCGAACUAGAGUGCGGGAGGGGUAAGCGGAAUGCGUGGUGUAGCGGUGAAAUGCGUAGAUAUUAGGCGGAACACCGGUGGCGAAGGCGGCUUACUGGACCGUAACUGACGUUGAGGCUCGAAAGCGUGGGGAGCGAACAGGAUUAGAUACCCGAGUAGUC